GCUGGUUUUUUGCAUUUAUUAAAAUUAAAUGGUAAUCUAUCUCCUAACAUACAAAUUACUGUGACAAGUUAAAUGAUGUUCCACACUCCAAACUAAUUCCACGCCAGUUGGUUUCAUCUCAAAUAAGGUCUACCAGAUAAACACUUUGUGAGGCCAAGGUGGUGGUGACAUAUUGUGGAUCUUACACUGAUUUUCAAAAAGAUGCAUCACAGGUUCACAUUUCCACAUCUAUAAAACUUUAUUAACAAGUAAAACACGUCAGCAUGUUUUAUAUAUGGGCAAAGAUAUCCUAUAAUACUAAAUGGCACAUUAUCAUCUAACAGUUGAACUUUAUCAAGGAUGAGGUUUUAAAAAAUAAUACACUAAUAUUUCAUAUGACUUUUAAGAAUUAAGUAAUCAACAAUUAAAAUAACAGCAGUUUAAAAAUAUAAGAUCUCAUUGUUUACCGUUUACUGUAAGCUGCAAUCAUUCCAAUACAACUUUUAUCAAAAAAGAAAAGAUACUAUGCGUGUUCUACAGGCCAAGUGGUCGGGUUUUAGGAAAGGCUGUGACGACACAAACUGGCUCCUGCCCCAGUGCUCCAGUUCCUUCUCUCAAAAGGUGAUGGGCUUAGGCAGUCACUGCUCAGUACAGUGCACAGAGGUAUACAGGGCGAUCACAUAUAAUUUAGCCUCCACAGUAGGACACUUUCGGGAGAGGAGGCACUAUUUAAGCUGAGAAAACAGAAUAACCAGCACUGUUCUGAGCAAACACAGGACACAUGCCAUUCUAGUAAAAACGGGAUCAGAUGCAUUAUCAUUACUUCUGUGCUUUGGGGGACGGUAUAGAACAGCUGAAAAACAAGUUAAAUUAAGGAACCCUGAAUUUUUCGGACUCCACUUUUCCUAUUACAAGAGGUUUUGCUGGAAAUAUUAGUGAUUAUUAACAGGUUAAAAUUUGUGAACAACCUCAAAGACGUGAUAUAUCUUACAGACGCAAAAUAAAGGGCUAGAGAUUAAUAUUUUUUGUUAAACAGAGAUUCUCAUUUUAACUGAAUGUAAUAAGAUUUGUAUUUCAAUUUUAAAUUUAUAAAAUCCAUUCUGAACACACUUUUUAGAAAAAUGCAUUUUUAUCUUAGAUUCAGUUUAUAAAAAUGAAUUACCCUGGCCAUAACUAGCUAAUUCAAAUAUAACAGAAAUAAUUUAAUAAACUUUUGCAUUACUCCCAAGGCCCAGUUCACAUUCAUUCAAAAAUUGUUUAUACACCCAACAAAGAUUAUGAUUUUCAAUCUUUAAGGUACAGCGUAAGUGUGGUUAAGUGUCCCCAAAACACAACAGCAGCUCACAGGAAAUGAGGGGAAGGAUGCAGGGUUUGAGAAAUCUGGAAGAGGUUAGGUUUUUAAAAAUAAUAUUCUGAUACCCCUGAAUGGAUGAUGAGAUUUAAGGCUACCAUUGAAUUGCAACAAUUAUGAAGGAUCAGGUAACACGCACAGUGAAAUCUUAUAGAUUUGGAGGGAAAAAAAUCAAAACAAAAAGUAAACUUUUGAUGUUGAAUCAAAAGUGACAUAUUCACAUUCAGAAACCAAAUAUAAAUACCACAAAAUAAAAUAAAAUUUUAAUAAAUUGAUGUGUUUAUAGCUGAUUUAGUAAUUUAAAUUUACCAUGUAUCAUAGCUUAAUUUCAUUUAAAAAUUAAUACAAAAAACAAAGUAUAUGUCUAUAGGAAAUUAACGAGAUAAAGAAGAGAUCCAGCAUGAGUUUACAUUUCUUAUAAGCACAUUCAAAUUUUAAUUUCCAAAUCAGAAAACGACAUUCAAUAUUUUGUUUUCUUUCCCCCAUGCUAUUGUUUUACUGCCAGGGGUGUAAUAUGGUACUUUAAUCAACCAUAAAAUUCUAUGCAGGAGAGAAUGAAUGAGAGAAAACAAAAAAUAGGAGGCUCAAUUAGCAAAACAAAGCUGCAUGUUUUAUUUAUCAAAGACAAUGAAAUAAAAUCAGAAAAUACAGAGAAAUACAAAAGAAGUUAUAAAGCAUAAUAAAUUUUAUUUUUUCAGAAAUGGAAAAAUGUCCCUGAAUAGUUUUAGAUGUAUUUUUUAGUAGUAGUCAGUGUCUAGUAAGAAACAAGCAAUUUUAUAUAUUCUAUAUAGCUGCAUUAAAUGAUUUUUAAGUUUAAAAGAUGACACAAGUCCCAUCAUUUUUAAUGUUGGCAUUCAAAAGUAAAGAUAUAACUGAAAAGAAAACAGAUGAGACAUAAAAUGAUUUGCAAAAUGUAGUAGCUUAUGGAUGUAAAGUCGAUUCCAGUUGUAACAAUGGUCACAUACACACAUACUCUCGCAACACACACACCCCCCAUAUCCCUAUAUUCCACAGACAUAUUUCCAGAACUUGAAAACAGAUAUUUUGCAUAUCUCAAUUUAGGAUAUGAUUUUUACAAGUUAAUCCUACAAUUACAAUGCAAGAAGCUGUUAAUGUACAAGUUUUUAUUUGCUAAGUUUCAGAAACUAAACAUCUAAAGGAAAAAAUUAUUACAAUGAUGUUGAAAGAUACUUUUAUUGGCUUUUUAAAAGAUAAAUGCAAAUGAGAAUAUCUUAUCAGAAAAUUAAUUUUCAAAAAUGUCUUAAAUGAAAUAAAUAUAAUAUCUAACACAAUCUCCUCCUGCAAGAAUCUCUACAACAGGCAAUGCUAAAAACCAAGCUUCUCAUUUGAGAACCCCUAAAACUGGCAAGUCCUUUAAAAAAAAAAAAAAAAAGAUUUUCUUGUAAAGGACAUAUUGAAUACCCACAUUUUCUUAAAAUUUGUCCUAAAACAAUCUAUCUUUAACACCCAAAUUUUCUCUAUAUAUUAAGUUCACUUAAUUUAAAAUUAACGAAAAGAUAUCUGGACACAAUUUCUAAGAAAACACUGCAGAAAGUAAUUUAUGUAUGGUUAUUUACAGAAAGAAUUUUGCUAAAUAAUGAUAUAAAUAUCAUGUUCAAAAAUCUGACAAAGCCUUUCUAAUAGUCAGCAAUGCACGUUUCAAAACCCUUGUAUAUAAGAAAGGAUGCUUCACGUGUGGAGUUACUACGUGAAUCUAAGAGCCAGAAACUAAAGCAUUCGACAUGGGUAAUAAUUUUAUUUUUAUUAUACUAAAAGUCAGGUCAGAAGUCAAUGGCAUUUCAUGCUGGAAGACUGGCUAUCACUCAACUCUUUCAAUUAUAUCAAACACUGAUUAACCAAAUGUGAUUGGACUUUACUGCUACAACUUUACGGUCUCUUCCAAGUAUAUGCAAAUCUUUUAAAUGGGCACAUAUGCAAAUGUGCAAAACAAAUGAAAUAUAAAUAUUUAAGAGAAUGAACAGAAAUGGCUUUUAAGCGUAAACCACCCUGCCAUUCAAUUUUGAAGCUCUAUCUUUUCGUCACUAAUCGGUCUUUUGUUUUUAGUAGUCUUCUAUCCCAUUAAAGUUGUAGGUUUACAGAUGUCUGGAAGUUUCACAUUGGUGUAAGAAAGGAAUGUCUGGUGGAGGCAGUCUAGGGACAAAGAAAAAAUCAGUCUUAAAAUGUCUUAAAUUUCAAUUAUCUAAAUGAUAGUACAACAAAAACCAUUUUAUAGCAGUAUUACAUCAAGUAUAUAAUGUUCUUUUGAUAAAG
This 3601-nucleotide long non-coding RNA is filed under the name Equus asinus (donkey). Its description in RNAcentral is "lncRNA (ENSEASG00005038723.1)". The record is from RNAcentral. Lineage: Eukaryota; Metazoa; Chordata; Mammalia; Perissodactyla; Equidae.